CAGUCUCCCAAAGUGCUGGGAUUACAGGCAUGAGCCACCAUGCCGGGCUUGAAAAAUAUUUUCUGUAAAGCAUUUCUACCAUAACUUCUUGAGACUUAAAACAGAGAAAAACAUAUUCAUUGAGAAAAUGCAGUUUUGAUUUUUUAUUGUUUAGAUCAAGAAUACGAACAUUGAAACCAAUUACUCAUAAAGGGUGCUUCCUCUAGACCUUCUUAUUGUCCUGAAUUCCUAUUUCAUUAGCAAAAGUACAUUUACAUGAAAUAUAUAUAUAUAUAUAUAUAUAUAUAUUUCAUAUAUAUGAAUCUGGCAUAAAUAUGGAUGCAUACUUCCCAUUAUUAAAAUUAGAAUUCUUUAAACAAAACAAAAUUUUCCUCUAUUUUCAAUUCUUGUCACUUCUGCCAUUUGCUGCUUGAAGUCCUUAAAAAAUAUUAUGUCUUCUGAAUGCUUUCUAAGACUAUAGAGAAUAUUGGUUGAAUGAGGUUUAGAGUUGGCUAAAGGAGGGCUUUUUUGACCAGAAGUUGAUUCUCUGAAGUUUUUUGUGUGUCUUUAACUUGUUUUUUUCCACUGAUUAAUCUUUCAUAGUAUGUAGUUAUAAUGGUAACCAUCACGUACAUCUGACCUACAAUAAAGAAGAAAAUGGACAGAAAAAAGAUUAUUAACUUUUCUUCCUUUUUUGUUCUUCUGUAGGUCUCAUUCCUGUCAGUUAGACUUGAGGUCAUGCUAUUUCCUGUUGGGGUCACGAGGAUGAAUUAGUGAUUAGACACUUAGGUGCUGGACUCAAAGGGACCUGGCUCCAUCACAUGCAAACUUUUUGUAAAAGAAGAAGGAUGGGUGUAUUCUUUCUUGUUCUACUGCUAGUUUAAAGAACAGGCGACUUCCCUGCUCAGAUUCCAAAUUCCUUAGGAAAACAAGAAGCGACAACAAAACCACACCAGUAACUUCCACUCACAUGUCAGUUUUAAAACAACUUGGGAAAGACAGAGUCUCUGCUUGCUCUGUCACCCAGUUUGGAGGGC
This 1016-nucleotide long non-coding RNA is filed under the name Homo sapiens (human). Its description in RNAcentral is "HSALNT0336425". The record is from RNAcentral. Lineage: Eukaryota; Metazoa; Chordata; Mammalia; Primates; Hominidae.